CUGCAAUCAAUUGGAUUAUGCGUUUAUCUUUGCGAAUCGGUAGAGGUGCUGUCCAGGAAUUUUGUGAGUGGGUGAACAGCAGUAGUUAUAGGGAUUUAUGGGAAUUUUCGUGGGUUAAUUAGUGGGAAUCAGUGGAAUAAUCAUGUAGAGCUUUGUCAUACCUUUCCAACGAGUACUUAUGCGCUCGAUUCGGAGUUAUAAUUUAGGAGAUAUCAUUGUUUGAAUCCGGAUAUGUUGCUGUCCAAAAAAAAACAGAUUUUUCAGGUGGGUGAACAGCAGUAGUAUUAGCAGUUUCUGGGAAUUUGUUGUAUGUAAUUAUUGAUGACCAGUAUGAUAAUCAUGUAGGGCUUUGUCUUAUCUUUCCAAUGAGUACUUAUGCGCUUGAUUUGGAAUUAUAUUUUAAAAGAUAUCGCUGUUUGAAUCCGGGUAUGUCGCUGUCCAAAAGAGAAAAAAACAGAUUACAGGGUUUAUCUUGUGGACUGUUUUGGGCUAAUUAGAUGUUGGAAUUUUGUCACCACUGCUGUCAUAAUUUUAAAGUUAUGAAAUUAUUAAGCAGCGCCGCUGCAGUUUGGUGGGUGCGGGGAGAAUUGUUACCCGUGGCGGGGUUUGAGAUUGUGCGUAGGUGCGGCGUCGUUUAUGAGCCUUAUUAUGUGAAAUUGGUGCACUAAGUUGUGUGUCAAAAACAGGUGGUGGACUUCCGGAUCGUACUUAGGGAUUUGCCCAAACUUCCGGUGAAGUCAAGUAAAACAGUGAUGGUUAUUUCGUCUGUCCAAUGAAGAGUCUUAUACUUGAUUAUGUUUGUGUUAUUUGUGUUCGUAUUCAUAUUUCUAAUUGAGUAUCAUCGUUGGAAGAUAUUAAUGUUUUAUUGAUUACAUAUGUUGAGUUUGUGGGUUGAUCAUGUUACCCAUGUAGUCUAUUUAGUGGAAUGGUGUCACACCCGGAUUUUAGGGGUCCAAAACCCGGGCGCAAACAUAAUCACCAGGUGUGCUGGGACCAAGUCUCACACAUAUGAUGAAUCAUGGCACAGGAUCGAAUGUCACAUCUUUACUAUAUAAUAGGAGUUUUGUACAAAAUAAAUAAAUAAUUACAUUAUAAGGAGACAACGGUCCAGCAACCCAAAGUUGACUGGGAGACGACGGCCUAGACCUCUCACGAACACAUCGCAGCAUCCUCCAUGUGUCAUCCUACGGUACCUGUUCUUGACCUGUGGGGGGGGUGUGAGACAGCAAGAGUGAGCUCACAUACGUUCAUCGCUCAACAAGUUGUGGGGAAUAAAGUGCAUGAACUCGCCAAAGGUGGGAGCUCACGUGAAGUGUAAGGCUUACCAAAGAGGAUGGUUAGAGCUGAGCAUUGCUUUUAAAGUUGGUCAAAAUUUUAUUAGCAGUUACUAAGUAUAAGUAAAUACCAACCCAAUUAAGUAGUAGAGCAAAAGUAACAUCAUCACCUGCGAUGCAAUGCAUAUGACAAAUUGAAUUUAGUUCCAUAAAUUAAUCAUCAGAGAGUCCUGAGCUGCUCAUGACCGUGAGCUCGGCUAGUAUACCAGUUUUACACUCUGCAGAGGUGGUACCCUUUACCCACAAGUCAUGUUACCCGUCUGCCAAGGGAUCGCGACUUCCCAUACACCUCUACCGAGGAGGCGAGGCAGGGUAACACUACGAGGCCUUUACAAAGUUCCACUAGCUUCAGAAAACCCGCUACAGUUUAUAGGAAGCUCCAAUGCAGGAAUCCCUUGCAGGACCGCCAUCGCAGCAAAAUCCUCCCGAGGGCCUCCCUACACUGACCACUCCCCUACUGCCCUUGCCCCUUUCGGGUAAGGUAGUCCUCCACUAGCUUUCCUAAUUAAUCAGCCAAGGGCGUCCAUAAACCCUUGUGGUGGCACGUGUUUCUCAAGUUAAGCUCUAUGUUCCAAUUAACAUUUAAUGAUCUUGUCAUGAACAUAAAUAGAAUAACAACAUAAUUGGAACAUAGAUGUAAUGAAAUAUUAACCCAAAACCAUAUAAAGCAGUAGCAGAACUACCCAAGUGAUUCAGGGGUAAACAAGGUAUUCAGGAUGAACAAACUAGGGUGACCUAUUGGGUCCCAUCAAAAUUAACCUAUGCAGAUCAUUAUGAUUAAUCAGAACAUGAGUAGGUAAAAAGAAGUGAUCAAGGGCACAACUUGCCUGACACUUGAGAUUCCAGGUACCAACUUGCUCUUCGGAUGACACGUGUCCUCGCGCUAGUCGUAGCAAUACAAACAAAUAUGGUAUAGAUAAAACUAACAUCACACCAAGCAUAAGUACAAACUGAAUAAUAAUGAUCUACGCGUUUCUACGAGACUAACGCAACUUGAACGGAUCAAAUCAGAGUUAAAACGGGGAAGAUACGAAUUUCCUAAUGUUUUAUGUAUUUGAUAUGGAUUUAAUUAGGAAAUAAAUUUUAAGGUGGCUUUCGUGUCAAAUUAGUGGCACUAUUAGAUAAACAAUAAUAUUAUAAAAUUAUAGGAACUGGAAUGACUCAAUUUGGAAUUAGUAUGAAUUUUCUACGGAUUAAACAAAUUCUAGCCAUUAUUUUUAUAUUAAAAAUCCAUUUUCUAUUUAUUUCCCUGGAUUUUCUAUUUACUGGACUGGGCCUCAAUUACUGGUAAGUUCAGGGGCUAACCCGCAAGAUCUCCAAGACACAGCGCCAUCCGCGCUGGACCGCGGGUUGAAUCUCAAUAAACCCAGGGCCCAUAUGCAAAACAGACCCGACGAAGGGGUAUCAGCCAGAUCUGGCCGUCCGAUCCCCAACAGACGGUGCAGAUUAGAUUUGAAUUUUUCAGAAAGGGUAUGAAAUAUAAGGCCUUGGAUCCAGAUCUAACGGUCUGAGUUUUAUGAAAUCUAAUCCAGAUCCGAACCGCACGAUUGCGAUCCAACCGCCCGAAUUCCGCGGGGUGAAGGUGUACGCAGAAUUUAAUCCACUCCCUCCGUUUAGAAUCCUACGGCCCCGGCUUCUAUAACAUGUCUUCUAAUCCUAACCAGUCAUCGCGAGAUCAAGGGCUCUGCGUUCGUCUUCUUCCUUUCGUCAACCCGGCAGUAGUUGCAAGUGCCAGGAAACCCAGCAUGGUGAACGGUGAGCUAGCUACUCGUCGGUACGGGUCGACGUGCGAAUAUAACUCACGUACUGAGAAAGUAAUGGUGGUUUGCAGGGGAGUUAUCAUACCGUGUUUCACGGCGCAAGUACAGUCGUCUAGAAGUCUGCAGCACGACGGCGAUCCUUCAAUGUCGACAACGAAGCACUCGCACAAUCUUCAACGCUCGGCGAAGAGGCCCGGUCCGCUCCUCAUCGCACGCACAGGAAGUACCUGGACGUCCAGUGCGUGACUUGUCGAACACCCUCUCGGCAACAACACUCACGUUCUCUCUCUUCAUCCUUUGUUUCUCUCGGCGGCUGUGAAUAUGACGGCGCACGCCCGGUGCUUUUCUCCAGGGCGACCGAGACGGCAACUGCCAGGACCAAGAGAUUUAUGGGGGCGCGCAGGGCGGUAGCGCCGGAAAUCCGGUUCUCCGUUUUGGUCGGCGCCCACAUCCCGGAAAUACGCGUAUGCGUAUUCGCAGUGGCCCAGCCGUCAGGGACAGUGAAAGGUAUACGGAUGAGGUCACCUGUGACGCCCGGCCGACGUCACCCACGCAGGAAACUAUUCUUUAUUCGGCUGGAGCGGUCCUCGGCGGGAGAAUAGCUGCAGGAGGAAGCCACCUGGGCCGGCUGUUACGGGGAGGUGGUUACGGCAUGCAUGGAUUUGUUACGGGGAGGAAGACGCGGUUGACAUCAGAGCCUAUAAACUAGUUACCCGCGCAGAGCUUCGUACGUGAUUCUAUCGUCCACAUGUCGGUGACUACGUAGAAGUAGACGUGUGCAUGGAAAUACGGCUGCAUGUGUUGCUUGCUUGAUGUCACACUUGUGUCAUGCUGACCUCAUGUGCGGCAAGAGGAUUAAAUAAAAGAAAAGAAGAGAUGUGGGCUACGGAAUACCUUGGGCUGGGUGGGAGGUGAUCUGGCCCAAGCGCAGGAUUGCUCCUCUUUUUUUUCUAUUUUAAAUUUCUUGUUUUAGUUUCCUUCACAUUUUCAGAUUCCUAUUUCAAAUUCAAAAUUGAUUCAACUUCAAUUUUGCCAGUACAAAAGCUAAUACUAAUGUGACCUCUACCAUUUUCAGUAUUAUUAUUUAUUUUUUUCCUUGUUGUUUAUUUAGGGAAGGAAUAAAUAGCUUCAUUAAAUUCCCCUUUCUUAUUUUAUAUUUAUAUCUUCGUUUAUACUUUGAGGUCAAAAUUAUGUGUUUAAUAAAGUACCUCCCACAAAGUCAUCAGUAAGAGAUGCACUUUUCAUUAUUUAUUUAUUGGUUGCUUAAUUAAUUUAGUACCAUUAAUUGAUUAUGAGAAGAAAAUAUCCAAAUGUAUUUUCCAAGGGAUUCAACAAUUCUCAAAACACUAUGAUAAAUAUAUUUGUUUAUUUAUUUAUUUAUUUAUUUUAUACCCAAUUUUAGGGCCUUACAAAUCCUACCACCUUAAAAAUAAUCUCGUCCUCGAGAUUUGUACGGACAUGGAUGUAAAAGAAAACUUUUUUAUAGUUUAGCUUUUAACUUCUAAGAAGUGUCAUGUUAUUUAGAAAGUGGUUAUGAAAGCAUGGGUAUAUAUAUGUAUGGUCACCUUAUUGUGUAGGAUGAAAGAUAGGUUAGGGCAAGCAUAGCCUAGGGUGAGAAGGUUUAUAGUGGGAAAGAAUUCUGUGUUGAGUGGUAAAGCAUUAGAAGAUUGAGUUUGACUUCUCUCCUUCCUUGACGAGGUUGAUCUUUUCUUCUCCAGUCUUGGUCUCCUUGAUUCGAGGUUAGUGUAUAUCAUCGGAGUUGGGGCAUAUGGUCGAAGUAGUUAUGGGUGAGAUGGACUACAUGUUGUAGGUCAAAAUCUUGUUUGAUGUUUGGUAGGCACAGAUAGAUUAUGCAAUCCAUCAUGACUCUAUUGGUUGGGUUAGAUCUAUUAGGAUGACAUAAAAUCUUUUCAAGAUAAGAUGAAUCCUCUAAGGUAAUAGAGUAUAUUUUUAAGAUAAGAUGGAUCUAUUAAGCUUACUAUAUUUUAGUGGGGGAUAAUCUAAGUUGCCUAGUUUUUGUAUCAACAUUUUUUUAUUUACUAUAUGUAUAUAUAGAUGUAAUUGUGGACAUUACUCCACAACUCAUCGCACUCAAUCAAAGAUCCAAAUCAGACAAGCAUCAUAAGAACAAACAUUCAAGUUCAUAGAUAUCUAUAUAACAGAAAAUAAUUUUGUUUUUGUUCCUAAGAGUAGGUCACCUAUUCCUAAAGUCACUUUAAGAACAGGAUUUCAAAGUGUGAAACCCACAUUUGUCUUUAGAAUGAAAAGGUAAGAAUAAUCAGAGUGAAGCGGAAUUAGAUGAGAAAAGAUUAAGAUGAGUUUAGAAAGAGUCAGAGUAGCAGAGGUAAGGUUAAUCAGAGUAGAACAGUAGAAGGUGAAACAGGAUCAAGAUAAGUAUAGAAAGAAUCAGAGUAAGGUAAGUAGACAAUGGUUGUCCAUUUCUAUCUAGGUUUCGUCCUACAGUCAACAUUCCUCUGAUACCACUUCUGUCACACCCGGAUUUUAGGGGUCCAAAACCCGGGCGCGAACAUAAUCACCAGGUGUGCUGGGACCAAGUCUCACACAUAUGAUGAAUCAUGGCACAGGAUCGAAUGUCACAUCUUUACUAUAUAAUAGGAGUUUUGUACAAAAUAAAUAAAUAAUUACAUUAUAAGGAGACAACGGUCCAGCAACCCAAAGUUGACUGGGAGACGACGGCCUAGACCUCUCACGAACACAUCGCAGCAUCCUCCAUGUGUCAUCCUACGGUACCUGUUCUUGACCUGUGGGGGGGGUGUGAGACAGCAAGAGUGAGCUCACAUACGUUCAUCGCUCAACAAGUUGUGGGGAAUAAAGUGCAUGAACUCGCCAAAGGUGGGAGCUCACGUGAAGUGUAAGGCUUACCAAAGAGGAUGGUUAGAGCUGAGCAUUGCUUUUAAAGUUGGUCAAAAUUUUAUUAGCAGUUACUAAGUAUAAGUAAAUACCAACCCAAUUAAGUAGUAGAGCAAAAGUAACAUCAUCACCUGCGAUGCAAUGCAUAUGACAAAUUGAAUUUAGUUCCAUAAAUUAAUCAUCAGAGAGUCCUGAGCUGCUCAUGACCGUGAGCUCGGCUAGUAUACCAGUUUUACACUCUGCAGAGGUGGUACCCUUUACCCACAAGUCAUGUUACCCGUCUGCCAAGGGAUCGCGACUUCCCAUACACCUCUACCGAGGAGGCGAGGCAGGGUAACACUACGAGGCCUUUACAAAGUUCCACUAGCUUCAGAAAACCCGCUACAGUUUAUAGGAAGCUCCAAUGCAGGAAUCCCUUGCAGGACCGCCAUCGCAGCAAAAUCCUCCCGAGGGCCUCCCUACACUGACCACUCCCCUACUGCCCUUGCCCCUUUCGGGUAAGGUAGUCCUCCACUAGCUUUCCUAAUUAAUCAGCCAAGGGCGUCCAUAAACCCUUGUGGUGGCACGUGUUUCUCAAGUUAAGCUCUAUGUUCCAAUUAACAUUUAAUGAUCUUGUCAUGAACAUAAAUAGAAUAACAACAUAAUUGGAACAUAGAUGUAAUGAAAUAUUAACCCAAAACCAUAUAAAGCAGUAGCAGAACUACCCAAGUGAUUCAGGGGUAAACAAGGUAUUCAGGAUGAACAAACUAGGGUGACCUAUUGGGUCCCAUCAAAAUUAACCUAUGCAGAUCAUUAUGAUUAAUCAGAACAUGAGUAGGUAAAAAGAAGUGAUCAAGGGCACAACUUGCCUGACACUUGAGAUUCCAGGUACCAACUUGCUCUUCGGAUGACACGUGUCCUCGCGCUAGUCGUAGCAAUACAAACAAAUAUGGUAUAGAUAAAACUAACAUCACACCAAGCAUAAGUACAAACUGAAUAAUAAUGAUCUACGCGUUUCUACGAGACUAACGCAACUUGAACGGAUCAAAUCAGAGUUAAAACGGGGAAGAUACGAAUUUCCUAAUGUUUUAUGUAUUUGAUAUGGAUUUAAUUAGGAAAUAAAUUUUAAGGUGGCUUUCGUGUCAAAUUAGUGGCACUAUUAGAUAAACAAUAAUAUUAUAAAAUUAUAGGAACUGGAAUGACUCAAUUUGGAAUUAGUAUGAAUUUUCUACGGAUUAAACAAAUUCUAGCCAUUAUUUUUAUAUUAAAAAUCCAUUUUCUAUUUAUUUCCCUGGAUUUUCUAUUUACUGGACUGGGCCUCAAUUACUGGUAAGUUCAGGGGCUAACCCGCAAGAUCUCCAAGACACAGCGCCAUCCGCGCUGGACCGCGGGUUGAAUCUCAAUAAACCCAGGGCCCAUAUGCAAAACAGACCCGACGAAGGGGUAUCAGCCAGAUCUGGCCGUCCGAUCCCCAACAGACGGUGCAGAUUAGAUUUGAAUUUUUCAGAAAGGGUAUGAAAUAUAAGGCCUUGGAUCCAGAUCUAACGGUCUGAGUUUUAUGAAAUCUAAUCCAGAUCCGAACCGCACGAUUGCGAUCCAACCGCCCGAAUUCCGCGGGGUGAAGGUGUACGCAGAAUUUAAUCCACUCCCUCCGUUUAGAAUCCUACGGCCCCGGCUUCUAUAACAUGUCUUCUAAUCCUAACCAGUCAUCGCGAGAUCAAGGGCUCUGCGUUCGUCUUCUUCCUUUCGUCAACCCGGCAGUAGUUGCAAGUGCCAGGAAACCCAGCAUGGUGAACGGUGAGCUAGCUACUCGUCGGUACGGGUCGACGUGCGAAUAUAACUCACGUACUGAGAAAGUAAUGGUGGUUUGCAGGGGAGUUAUCAUACCGUGUUUCACGGCGCAAGUACAGUCGUCUAGAAGUCUGCAGCAUGACGGCGAUCCUUCAAUGUCGACAACGAAGCACUCGCACAAUCUUCAACGCUCGGCGAAGAGGCCCGGUCCGCUCCUCAUCGCACGCACAGGAAGUACCUGGACAUCCAGUGCGUGACUUGUCGAACACCCUCUCGGCAACAACACUCACGUUCUCUCUCUUCAUCCUUUGUUUCUCUCGGCGGCUGUGAAUAUGACGGCGCACGCCCGGUGCUUUUCUCCAGGGCGACC
Molecule: long non-coding RNA, 8105 nt
Filed under: Zea mays
Lineage: Eukaryota; Viridiplantae; Streptophyta; Magnoliopsida; Poales; Poaceae
Description: long non-coding RNA (ZMAY_LNC002797)
Source: RNAcentral